This 25-nucleotide non-coding RNA is filed under the name Cricetulus griseus (Chinese hamster). The record is from RNAcentral. Lineage: Eukaryota; Metazoa; Chordata; Mammalia; Rodentia; Cricetidae.
AUAGACUCAAGAGCCAAGAUAUAUU